RNAcentral lists this ribosomal RNA (404 nucleotides) under uncultured bacterium. RNAcentral describes it as "bacterial SSU rRNA". It matches the Rfam family "Bacterial small subunit ribosomal RNA", at positions 355 to 776 of the family's 1533-position model. The record is from RNAcentral.
UGGGGAAUAUUGGACAAUGGGGGAAACCCUGAUCCAGCAAUGCCGCGUGAGUGAAGAAGGCCCUAGGGUUGUAAAGCUCUUUCAACUGUGAAGAUGAUGACUGUAAUAGUAGAAGAAGCCCCGGCUAACUCCGUGCCAGCAGCCGCGGUAAUACGGAGGGGGCUAGCGUUGUUCGGAUUUACUGGGCGUAAAGCGCACGUAGGCGGCGAAGCCAGUUAGAAGUGAAAGCCCCGGGCUCAACCUGGGAAUUGCUUUUAAUACUGCUUUGCUUGAGUUCGGGAGAGGGUAGUGGAAUUUCCAGUGUAGAGGUGAAAUUCGUAGAUAUUGGAAAGAACACCAGUGGCGAAGGCGACUACCUGGUCCGAUACUGACGCUGAGGUGCGAAAGCGUGGGGAGCAAACAGG